GUUAGUGUUAAUUUAGUGUAGUUUAAGGGUUAAUAUAGUGUAUCGUAUAGAUGGGGUUAAUGGUUAGUGUUGGUUUAGUGGUUAUUGUAGUGUGGGGAUUAAUGUAGAGUAUCAGUUGUGUAGGGGUUAAUGGUUAGUGUUAAUUUAGUCCAGUUUAGAGAUUAUAGAGGUUAAUGUAGUGUAGGGGUUAAUGGUUAGUGUUACGUUAGUGUAGUUUAGGGGUUAAUGCAGUGUAUCAGUAGUGUAGGGGUUAAUGGAUAGUGUUAAGUUAGUGUAGUUUAGGGGUUAGUGCAGUGUAUCAGUAGUGUAGAGGUUAAUGGUUAGUGUUAGUCUAGGGGUUAAUACAGUGUGUCAGUAGUGUAGGGGUUAAUGGUUAGUGUUAGUUUAGGGGUUAAUGUAGUGUUUGGGUUAAUGUAGAGUAUCGGCAGUGUAGGGAUUCAUAGUUAGUGUUAAUUUAGUGUAGUUUAUAGGUUAAUGCAAUGUAUCAUUAGUGUAGGGAUUAAUUGUUAAUGUUCGUUUAGUGUAGUUUAGGGGUUAAUGCUGUGUAUCAGUAGUGUAGGGGUUAAUGGUUAGUGUAGUUUAGGGGUUAAUGUAGUGUUAUGGUUAAUGUAGUGUAGUAAUCGGCAGUGUAGGGGUUAAUGGUUAGUGUUAAUUUAGUGUAGUUUAGGGGUUAAUGUAAUGUAUCAGUAGUGUAGGUGUUAAUG
This is a non-coding RNA of Pelobates cultripes (western spadefoot toad), 704 nucleotides long. NCBI's taxonomy places the organism in Eukaryota, Metazoa, Chordata, Amphibia, Anura, Pelobatidae. The record is from the annotation of a GenBank genome assembly.